Molecule: ribosomal RNA, 440 nt
Filed under: Enterobacter hormaechei
Lineage: Bacteria; Pseudomonadati; Pseudomonadota; Gammaproteobacteria; Enterobacterales; Enterobacteriaceae
Description: partial 16S ribosomal RNA
Source: RNAcentral
AACCUCCAACACGGGAACUCCGCACCGAAGGCCUCGAUUGCGCAAUUCAGCUGGCGGACCCCUCAUGCCGGCGUUCCAAUUUUGAGUUUACUUAACUGCCCCCGGGCGUGUUCGCCACCUCGUACACCAAAUUAAGCUACGUUGCGCUUCUUGGAAUGGACCAGAACUGUAGGUGUCUUGAAAAGUCUCUACUUAACCACGGAAGCCCUUGACACUCUGUCCACGACGUACCGACAGCAGUCGAGCACAACACUUUACAACCCAAUUCAGGGCGUUGCUCGCGUUGGGAAUAGGAAACAACGGUCGCCAGGCCGGCCCUUGAGUUUCCUCUGACGGUCACUAUUUGACCUCCUUCCACCCCUACUGCAGUUCAGUAGUACCGGGAAUGCUGGUCCCGAUGUGUGCACGAUGUUACCGCGUAUGUUUCUCUUCGCUGGAGC